Molecule: long non-coding RNA, 707 nt
Filed under: Homo sapiens (human)
Lineage: Eukaryota; Metazoa; Chordata; Mammalia; Primates; Hominidae
Description: HSALNT0202821
Source: RNAcentral
GGGGGAGGGAAGAAAGCUCAUUACACACACGGGGAAAUAGGGGUCCGAGAGAGAAACUAGCGCCCCUGUGAUCCUUGCUGUCCCCAUCCCCGUUCCCAGAAGCAAAACCUCUAAUUAGAACGGGGGCGGAGAAGAACCCUGCUGCGAAGGAGAGAUCUGUGGGGCAAUAUCGUCUCCAAAACUUAAUUUUGCUGUUCACUUUCUAUCCCCUCCGCCCCCGCCUUCCCCCCUCGUUUCCCCAUCACCACCCUCAUCCAGCUAACAUUCAGAAUCCCAAACCGUAAAACAUCCCUGGAAACACACACCGGAGUGGAGAGGAUUCCGACUCAGAGACUGCGCAAAGCGACACGGAAACCCAGGCAGGCUGAAGCCUCGAAGUAUUCAGCCAAUGGAGAUGGGAUACCUACAGCCAUUUGGCUUUGAUUCCCUCCAUGCCUCUUGGUGCUUCCAUGCAUACUUCCCCUGGGAUGCUCUUCUUUUGGUUUCAAAAGCUGCUUACAACGUGAGAGUUAGCAAUAAAUGAACAACUGAAUGGAAAUGAAGACCUCAGAGUUGUUUUCCCCAUGGAGUCAAUGCCUUUGGGUAACCAGUGACUCUCUAUUCUUCCUGUGGCUUAUGGUAUGAUGGUAUAUUUUCAUUAUCUGCAAAGUACAGAAAAUAAUACCUUUCUCUGAUGUCAUGCAGAUUAAGUAAAAAGUGUUUCCGUA